RNAcentral lists this long non-coding RNA (217 nucleotides) under Lathyrus oleraceus (garden pea). RNAcentral's name for it is "Pisum sativum (pea) long non-coding RNA (PSAT_LNC024777)". The record is from RNAcentral. Lineage: Eukaryota; Viridiplantae; Streptophyta; Magnoliopsida; Fabales; Fabaceae.
GCAUUUUUCAUCGUUGGAGGACUUCCAGACCUCCGAUUUCGAUUCCGUAAAAAGCUACACGUUCAGAAAAUUAUGACUCAUCCAAAUAUAUAUUCAUUCACAAUUUUAGCAUAAUUUAAUCAUCACAAUUCAAGAGUAUUUGUCAAAACCUAAUAAUUCCAAAACCACGCCAAUUAAGGAUUUCAACCUAAAACAUGUUCCUACCCAUUGACCCAAU